RNAcentral lists this non-coding RNA (243 nucleotides) under Bacillus sp. CECT 9360. Its description in RNAcentral is "T-box". It matches the Rfam family "T-box leader". Rfam says of the family: Uncharged tRNA acts as the effector for transcription antitermination of genes in the T-box leader family. T-boxes are found upstream of many aminoacyl-tRNA synthetase genes and some amino acid biosynthetic genes usually in Gram-positive bacteria. Lineage: Bacteria; Bacillati; Bacillota; Bacilli; Caryophanales; Bacillaceae. The record is from RNAcentral.
CGCAAAUCGUUGAGUAAGAGUAGUAGCCAUUUUAGAUGCGAUACAGAGAGCCGGGAAAGGUGGAAACCGGUACGCUAAAAAGUGGUGAAUGGACUUAUGAGAGGCGCCUUGAAUGAAUAGUAGGGGAGCCCGGAUUCCACCGUUACAGGGAUAGGGUAUAAAUAAAGAUGUACCCGAAAAGCGGGAAGGCGAUAAAAAGCCUUCCAAGCUGAGGUGGCACCGCGGUCAAUAAUCGUCCUCUGC